Molecule: ribosomal RNA, 235 nt
Filed under: uncultured bacterium
Lineage: Bacteria
Description: partial 16S ribosomal RNA
Rfam family: Bacterial small subunit ribosomal RNA
Source: RNAcentral
GCAAGUCGAACGAACAAACUGGAGCUUGCUUUAGCUUUGUUAGUGGCAAACGGGUGAGUAACACGUGGGAAUCUACCCAUCAGUACGGAAUAACAUUUGGAAACAGAUCCUAAUACCGUAUAUUCUCCAAGGAGGAAAGAUUUAUCGCUGAUGGAUGAGCCCGCGCAAGAUUAGGUAGUUGGUAGGGUAAUGGCCUACCAAGCCGACGAUCUGUAGCUGGUCUGAGAGGACGAAC